UGGGGAAUAUUGGGCAAUGGGCGCAAGCCUGACCCAGCAACGCCGCGUGAAGGAAGAAGGCUUUCGGGUUGUAAACUUCUUUUGUCAGGGACGAGCAGAAGACGGUACCUGACGAAUAAGCCACGGCUAACUACGUGCCAGCAGCCGCGGUAAUACGUAGGUUGCAAGCGUUGUCCGGAUUUACUGGGUGUAAAGGGCGUGUAGGCGGAGGGGCAAGUCAGAUGUGAAAUCCCGGGGCUUAACCCCCAAGCUGCAUUUGGAACUGUCAAGCUAGAGUAUCGGAGAGGUAAGUGGAAUUCCUAGUGUAGCGGUGAAAUGCGUAGAUAUUAGGAGGAACACCAGUGGCGAAGGCGGCUUGCUGGACGACAACUGACGCUGAGGCGCGAAAGCGUGGGGAGCAAACAGG
RNAcentral lists this ribosomal RNA (406 nucleotides) under Eubacterium sp. RNAcentral's name for it is "bacterial SSU rRNA". It matches the Rfam family "Bacterial small subunit ribosomal RNA", at positions 355 to 776 of the family's 1533-position model. Lineage: Bacteria; Bacillati; Bacillota; Clostridia; Eubacteriales; Eubacteriaceae. The record is from RNAcentral.